CCCGUCGUUACUCGGUGGCGUGUGGUGGCAAGUUGGCUUGUGUAGCCACUUCUCCGACGAGUGUGUUUUAAAUAAGUCAGCUUGAGUGGUCCAUAUUCACUGGCAAGGCUGUUGUAGCGAGCUCUGACGCUGGGUGCUCGGUGGGAAUCAGCUGGAGCCGUAGCCAAGCCUCUCAUAAGCUCAAUUCAUGACCUGCGGUCCCAGAGAGGGGAUUCAUCGCCACUUGGGCGGCUUCACUGUCAGGAUCAACCUCUGGGCCCUGGUGGACAGCCUGACUGCCUCCCCUCCCCCUGCCUGAGAUAAGUAGCCUAGUUUGAUAAAUGGGCUAUUGGUGAAUGAUUGCCAUAUAAUUACUGUCAAGCCUUUUACCAACUCUUGUGUCUGUCUCGCUCUCGCUCUCUCUCUCGCUCUCGCGCGCUUUCUCUCUCUUCCGGACAGGUGUGGUGGGUUUCCCACAGGCGGCAGGCCAACCUUCAGGUGGCGGAGUUCCCCCCCCUCACUUUUCUCUGCUGUGUACAAUGGGUGCUUUAUUCUGAAUUGCAGUGUAAUUGAAGUGCCAUUAUCCUUCACGUGUGGUGCGUGUCUUCUGGGUCCCUCCUUCUCCCCCUUUUUGGAAGUCCUGCUCGCUGUGGUAAGCCCCCUGCCCUGCUCCACUCCCUUUGAUUACGGGUCACAGGUUAAGCUACGGCGUAACAGUGUGGUUGCCAUCAUUAACCAUCCAGUAGAUCUGACCCAGGCGUCUCCUGUAUUUACACCUGAUGCAUUGCUUUUAUGUUUGAAUCUGUGUUGUAUGUAUCAAUAAAUCAUGUUAACUCUUGUCUCUGGCCUAAGAGUGUACGAAUCUGUGUUGCCUUGUGGGUAUUAUAGGGAAUAUAGUAUAACUGGUCCUAGGGUGUAACCCCCUAGGUGGCGUAGUCGACUCCAAAUUUCCUUGCCACGUCACAUGAUGAAGGAAAAUAUGAAUGAAGAUGCAAAUUGAUAUUGGAAUCUAGGGCUCAUCCUCUCGAUUAUUUUUGACUUUAAGAACAGUAUGUCUUAUGUGUAUGACCUUGUGACUUUAACUCCACCCCACUUCUCUUUCUUUCCUGAAUCAGUUUCAAUAGAAUGUAUUGAAUGAAUGAAUGUAUUGUACUUAUGUACUUUAAGAACAGCAGUCUAAACAACAUUACAAUUCAGUAAAUCCUAUUUUAUUCUUCAGUAAUUGUAACAUGAAUAUCUCCAAGUGAAGUAACUUGAUUUCAUACCACAUUUAAAAACAACUGUUAGUAUGCCUAGACCUAAAGUGCUUUACAGUUAAGGCAAACACAUACAUGUACAGUAGAUGAUGCACCAAAGGAACCAUUUAUAACAAAAUGUAGGCUAAGAGAGGUCAAAGCGAGUGCACCGUAAGCACACCAAUCGGGGCUCAGCACACAAUUUGCUCUGAGGCCAUAUUCACAAAGCCUUUUAUCUUACCACUAGGAGUACUCCUAAAUCACACUAAAAGAUUUUAGCUAGGAGUUUUCUCUUAAGUUAUU
Molecule: long non-coding RNA, 1517 nt
Organism: Alosa alosa (allis shad)
Lineage: Eukaryota; Metazoa; Chordata; Actinopteri; Clupeiformes; Clupeidae
Exons: 4
Source: RefSeq, a predicted model, not a curated record